This is a long non-coding RNA of Pistacia vera, 199 nucleotides long. RefSeq lists it as uncharacterized. The transcript has 3 exons. The record is from RefSeq and is a predicted model, not a curated record. Lineage: Eukaryota; Viridiplantae; Streptophyta; Magnoliopsida; Sapindales; Anacardiaceae.
ACACUGAGAUUGGUGGAGUGCUCCAUGUUCACUGCAGUUACUGGCCUUGUUUACUUCUUGAGCAAUUCUCUCUCCAUCGAGAAUUACUUUGGAUGUUUUUUCUCAUUGCCGAUAGUAAUCUCUUCAAUGAGAUGGGGUGUUGCAGCUGGGAGGAAAACUAUGGUGGCGACGGCCAUGCUAUUGCUUGUCUUGUCUGGUC